ACUCCUACGGGAGGCAGCAGUGGGGAAUAUUGGACAAUGGGCGCAAGCCUGAUCCAGCCAUGCCGCGUGUGUGAUGAAGGCCUUAGGGUUGUAAAGCACUUUUGUCCGGGAAGAUAAUGACUGUACCGGAAGAAUAAGCCCCGGCUAACUACGUGCCAGCAGCCGCGGUAAU
Molecule: ribosomal RNA, 172 nt
Filed under: uncultured bacterium
Lineage: Bacteria
Description: partial 16S ribosomal RNA
Rfam family: Bacterial small subunit ribosomal RNA
Source: RNAcentral